RNAcentral lists this long non-coding RNA (701 nucleotides) under Homo sapiens (human). RNAcentral's name for it is "HSALNT0341365". Lineage: Eukaryota; Metazoa; Chordata; Mammalia; Primates; Hominidae. The record is from RNAcentral.
CACUGUAGUCAUUUCUGGAAUUAAAACAAUAAAAUGACAUUUCUACUAAAAUGUUUUUCUAGCUAGAGGUGACAAGUGUGGCUGUAAGUCCUUGAUGAAAAGUCUGGCUCUGAGCUGCAGUCCUGGCACUCUCCAUUGACCCCGCAUCCCAUACUCAGUCGUCUUCAUCAGUACAAGAAUAGUGACCCCUGCCUCCACGAUGUUCAGACACACUGUGGUGGCUUGCACUAUGCCUAACUUUGCAGUCCCCAAAAAAACCAUGAAGCCCUGAGAGUAAUGAAAAGCUUCCUGACAUUGAGGUCACUGUGGAAGAACCACCUAAGCUAAAGAUUCUUUUGAGAACAAGGGCUAGCCUGUGGUUUCAUGGCCUUUCUUCCAUUUGGGGUUCUUGCCAAGUGGAAUUUAAAUGACCUCUUAUCAAGAUGGAUAAACCCAAGUUUCCCAGUGCUGGAAUACAGAAAAUGGAUGGACAAGAUGUCUUUUUGUCACUUCCAGCUGGAUCUACCAUGAAAGACGUCAGAGUCCAGGAAGAGAGACUGACUGGGCAACAUGUUAUUCAGAAUUAGAGAAGAUGAUGUGGUGAUGGAAGAAGAGGUCAGAGAGGGAGAUUUGAAGAUGUUGCAGUUCUGGCCUUCAAGAUGGAGUCAGGGGCUAUCUUCAAGAGAGAAGAUCUUGAUCUGUGGCCCAGGCUGCAGUACAGU